Molecule: long non-coding RNA, 1348 nt
Organism: Anolis carolinensis (green anole)
Lineage: Eukaryota; Metazoa; Chordata; Lepidosauria; Squamata; Anolidae
Source: Ensembl
GAUUUUGGCAUGCAAGUGUUAUGAUUUCAAAUAAAAACUGAACUCUGGGGCACAAUCCUACAUGGACUGAAAACAGAAUUAUUGGGGGAAUUGGAAACAAUGGACAUCUAGAUUAUAAUGGUGAAAUUAAAAGGUCUAGAUACAGCUCAAGAGAUAAAGAUGGAAUUCAUUACUCUUUAAUGGAGGGUGUACAGAAAGGGGAUGGCACUGCAGAUAUUGUUGAACAAAAAUUCCCAGCAUUCCUUUUCAUUGACUAUCCAGCAAGGCUGAUAACCAAAGCUUUCUGUUUGUCCAUACAAAAUGAUGGACAGAAAGGAUAUCAACAUCUCUUCAUUAGAUAUAAUGUGGAGCAGCACAAUGAGCAUUCCAAAUGUUCUCUUGAAGAUAAAAGAAGUGGGGUGAGGGAGGGAAUGGAACAGAGUGAAUUGCAAUCAAGCCAGCUUGUUGAAUUUUUAUUUUUAAUUUUUUUUAUUAAUUUAUCAAUCAAAAUGUAUAAGUUUACAUUUUCCUCAUUAUACAAUAUCUUAAACAUAUCAUGUUGUACACAAUCCGACAGUAAAAAAAAAUCAAAAACAUCUUUAAGCAUAUUUCUUAUCAGUUUUUUAACUUUUCCAUUCCAACUUUACUACAUAUCUCUCUACUACACACCUUUUAUCUACUUAUAAUGUUUUAUUAUUAAUAUUAUUAUUAAUAAUAAUUUAUAAUUCAAAAUGUAUAAAUAUACAUUCUUUCCUCAUUUUACAGUAUCUUAAACAUAUCAUAUUGUAUACAAUCCAACAAUAAAGAAAAAUCAAAAUCAAAGCAUCUUUAAGCAUAUUUCUUAUCAGUUUUAGACUUUUCCAUUACAACUUUACUACAUAUCUCUCUACAACUACUACUUUUAUCUAUUUAUACAUGUUUUAUUUAUUAUUGUUAUUAUUGUUACAGCUUGUUGAAUUAAAUAACUUCAAAAGAGAAUAGUAAGCUUAUAUCUAUGUUAGACCGCAUAUCCCAAAGGUAUUGCAAGCCAACAGUCCUUAUAACAUGCAAAUGUCACCUUUUCGGUGUAGUUGAUGCAUAUGACAAAAGAAAUGCCAUGCAAGAAUGCUCCAAGUCCCAGGAUGAAAGAAACCCUUGAAUGAUCUUAAUCUGUUUUGCUAGAUAUAAGAAAAGUUUUGAUGAAUAGAAGUAACUACUGGGAUUUCUGCUUACACCCAGGUUAAGCCAACAAUUUAUGGUUCACAAUGAACAUCAGAUUGAAAGGAAUUUUGAGUGUUUGCUUCUGUUACAGUACUUAGGUUUAAGACAAAUGCCCAAACUUAUUUUGGCAUAAGGGGCUGCAAGGGUGGAUGGAUGCAUAAAUGAGCCA